RNAcentral lists this long non-coding RNA (740 nucleotides) under Cucumis sativus (cucumber). RNAcentral describes it as "long non-coding RNA (CSAT_LNC002491)". The record is from RNAcentral. Lineage: Eukaryota; Viridiplantae; Streptophyta; Magnoliopsida; Cucurbitales; Cucurbitaceae.
AUCAUUCCACCAUUCCAACCUUCUUCUAUGUAGAUAAUGGAGGCUGCCUUUUUGUGGUGGGUCCAUGCCACGGCCGCUGUGAUGUUACAACCCAAUUCAACCAGGACGGCGAAUAUCUCCGACAAGAGACCUGGUCUAUCAAUUCCGGUAAUCUCCGCUGCCGUGUGCUCUGGUGACAAUAAUUCUUUUCCUGUGUUGCACAUUCUCACUUUUCUUGGUGACCCUUCUUUCCUACUUGCACAUAAUGCCUGUAAUUGCAUAGUAGUAUUUGAAUAUGCAUUAUAAUUUCUCUAUUAAUUAAGCAUAGUUUAUGAGGGUCAAAAGAAACAUUAAAAAGAGACCUGCUUGAUGUAAUGGAUAAGACUUUCAUCCGUGAGUUUAUUUCCAAACUGAUCUGUCACAUGGAAAACUGCAGCACCAUACAUAUGUAAAAACACAACCCAUUACAAGUCAGCUUCCAUUAUAAUAAAAUCACAUUAACAAUCAUUCAUCUUUUUGGGAAAUUUCGAGUCUCCUUCCUCUAAAUAGUAUUAUAGAAGUUGUUAUCCGAUAAGUCAGCUUCCAUUCAUCUUAGUGCUGGAAUUAUUAUAUAUUUGCUUUUGGUUAAUCAUAGUUUUAAUCAACCAAUUAGAACAUAAAACAAGUAUAAUUAAGUGGGAUAAGUUUGUAUUAACGUGGAUAGGUACUGACCGUCCAUGAACCAUCCUCCAUCUGAAGAAAUGUAAGAUUUGGAGAUAACA